CGAACGAGACUUUUUAUUUGAUGCUUGCAUCUUUUAAAAAGUCGAGUCCGCUAACGGGUGAGUAACACGUGGGUAACCUGCCUUAAAGUGGGGGAUAACACUUGGAAACAGGUGCUAAUACCGCAUAACCAUCAAAACCGCCUGGUUUUGAUGUUAAAGAUGGUUCUGCUAUCGCUUUAAGAUGGACCCGCGGCGUAUUAGCUAGUUGGUGAGGUAAUGGCUUACCAAGGCAAUGAUACGUAGCCGAACUGAGAGGUUGAUCGGCCACAUUGGGACUGAGACACGGCCCAAACUCCUACGGGAGGCAGCAGUAGGGAAUCUUCCACAAUGGACGAAAGUCUGAUGGAGCAACGCCGCGUGAGUGAAGAAGGUUUUCGGAUCGUAAAACUCUGUUGUCAGAGAAGAACGUGUGUGAGAGUAACUGUUCACGCAGUGACGGUAUCUGACCAGAAAGUCACGGCUAACUACGUGCCAGCAGCCGCGGUAAUACGUAGGUGGCAAGCGUUGUCCGGAUUUAUUGGGCGUAAAGGGAACGCAGGCGGUCUUUUAAGUCUGAUGUGAAAGCCUUCGGCUUAACCGAAGUCGGGCAUUGGAAACUGGGAGACUUGAGUGCAGAAGAGGAGAGUGGAACUCCAUGUGUAGCGGUGAAAUGCGUAGAUAUAUGGAAGAACACCAGUGGCGAAAGCGGCUCUCUGGUCUGUAACUGACGCUGAGGUUCGAAAGCGUGGGUAGCAAACAGGAUUAGAUACCCUGGUAGUCCACGCCGUAAACGAUGAAUGCUAAGUGUUGGAGGGUU
This 796-nucleotide ribosomal RNA is filed under the name uncultured bacterium. RNAcentral's name for it is "bacterial SSU rRNA". It matches the Rfam family "Bacterial small subunit ribosomal RNA", at positions 62 to 832 of the family's 1533-position model. The record is from RNAcentral.